RNA transcript from Salvelinus sp. IW2-2015, 5001 nucleotides. It is a transcript of the gene named PEX5-related protein, with no coding region annotated. Lineage: Eukaryota; Metazoa; Chordata; Actinopteri; Salmoniformes; Salmonidae. The record is from RefSeq and is a predicted model, not a curated record.
ACUCUAGGGCUGCAGAUAAGACUGUUGCCAUGGUCCUGAAGGAGAUACCCAAAAAGGCGUCUUCAGAAGUGAAACCCCUCCUCACGGUGACAACCAAGCUGGUGAGUGAGCAACAAGAGAGCCGCCCCCUGCUAAGCCCCUCCAUCGACGACUUUCUCUGUGAGACCAAGUGCCAUGGCGCUGCCCGCCUAGUGACUUCGAACACAGCAGUUCUGUCCUCCACAUUGGACCUAUUGGACCUCAGCGAGCCCGGAGAGAGAAGGAACAGCAAGCAGGACAAGAAGAGCCCUCUGUUGUCAYGUGGGGACGGGCCUAAGAACACGCCUCACCGGAAGAAGACGACGGACGAGACAGAGCUGAUCCAGGUGGAUGUAGAGCAGACUGUCCCCAGCUCACACACUCCUGAAAGAGUGUCACUAGACUCAGUCAACAUUGCCUGUCCUUUGGAGAAAUGGGAGGAGCUCAACGUCCACACUGAAAGAAACAGCAGCAGAAAGUGGAAAUUGGAGAGACGGGGUUCAUCGAAAAACUCCUCCAGCGAACUUCUGUGGUCCAUAGACUGCAAAACACAAUCAGAGCCACCCUCCAAGAGCUCUUUGGAAGUAAAUGCCAUAGCAGAGGCCGAGCCAGCUCUAGCAUUUCAACUCAACAGACAGUAUAUUAGUGGAAGACAUGGCCGUUUGAGUAAAGAGCGGUUCGGUGGCGGUGCCCUCCUGUCCAGAAACCAGUCCCUGGAGGAAGAGUUUGAGCGAGCCAAGGCAGCUGUGGAGUCAGACACAGAGUUCUGGGACAAGAUGCAAGCAGAGUGGGAGGAGCUAGCACGACGGAACUGGCUAACGGAGAACGAGCAGGCGCAGAUCCCCUCCAGUGUGUCGCCUCACGAGAAGGGUUACUACUUCCACAUGGACAACCCCUACAAGGACUGGCCCAACGCGUUUGAGGAGGGUCUUCGAAAGUCCAAAGAGGGAGACCUGCCCAACGCUGUGCUGCUACUGGAGGGGGCCAUCUUGCAGGACCCCCAGGACUCAGAGGCUUGGCAAGUGUUGGGGACGACCCAGGCCGAGAACGAAAACGAGCAGGCAGCUAUCGUCUCCCUCCAGAGGUGUCUCGAGCUCCACCCCAAUAACCUCCAAGCCCUCAUGGCCCUGGCGGUGAGCCUGACCAACACGGGCAUGAGGCAGGAUGCCUGCGAGGCGUUGCUGCGCUGGCUCCGUCACAACUCCAAGUACAAGCACCUGCUGAAGGGCAAGAGCCACCUGGCGGGCUCCCCGGGCUCCCAACGUAGGAUGUCUCGUGUCUCAACUGUGGGCAGAUAUGAGAGCUCUCUACUGCCUGAGGUGAAGGAUCUGUUUCUGGAGGCAGCCCAGCACAACAGGGACACCGACCCAGACCUGCAGACGGGCCUGGGUGUGUUGUUCAACAUUAGCGCGGAGUUCAAUAAAGCUGUGGAGGCCUUCAAUGCUGCCCUGACGGUGCGGCCAGAGGACUACCUGCUGUGGAACCGCCUGGGGGCCACGCUGGCUAACGGGGACCGCAGCGAGGAGGCGGUAGAGGCCUACACCCGAGCCCUGGAGCUCCAGCCGGGCUUCAUUAGAUCCCGUUACAACCUGGGCAUCAGCUGCAUCAACCUAGGAGCACACCGGGAGGCGGCCAGUAACUUCCUAACAGCCCUGAGUCUGCAGAGGAAGAGCCGUAGUCAGCAGCUCUCGCACCAGGUCAUGUCGGGGAACAUCUGGGCCGCCCUGCGGAUAGCCCUCUCCAUGAUGGACCAGCCGGAGCUCUUCCAGGCAGCCAACAUCGGAGACUUGGACCUCCUCAUGAAAGCAUUCAACCUGGACAUGUGAGUGGAGAUGGGCCUUGGAGACGAGUCUCUUCUCUCCUACCAACAGGCCUUGGAGAAGAGUCUCUACACUCCUACCAAAUGCCAAAAAACCCAAAGUGUACAGUUGGAAAGAGCUGUUUUGUCCAGUUAAUGACGAGUGUGUGGUCUAUUUUGGCGAGCACUACAAAAUCUUUACUACUCCUCAGUACCUCUGCAGUCUUCUUGAGUACUGCAUGUGCUCGAAGAGUCUAUUUUGCGAUGGAUUUGCACUGCAAUUUGUGAUUUCCCCGAAGAGCACAAGGACGGGCAAAGACUGUACAAGUAAUGCCUUAGAGAACACAGUAAUUAAAACUAACUCAUUGGAACUGAGUGAGAGAAAGAGAAAUGCUGAGAAUGCUUUUGCUGAACAGUGUUGAGGUUUGACAAGAACGGUUUCCUCAUCCAGAGACUUUUAGAGUGUCCGGAUUAUCACACUGACCUAAAGGAAGGAUUUAGUGGGUAAAAUCAAUAAAGACUACACCAUAAGCCGUGGGACUCGGAGACAGUUUUCAGCAGAGAAUCAAUAUUCUUUUUUGGGGGGGUUGGUUUUAUCCUCUUUUCUGUGAGGAACAACACUGCAUGGAAACUAAAGCAUGUUCCUAAAUGGAUUCGGUGGCACUUGCCUGAACCUAAAAGCUUAGAACUUUUUUUCCUUACUUGGACUCAGCACUUUGAAAAACAAACAGAUAAUUUCCUCUUAUCUUAAUGAAACGAGACAGAUUGUAAAGCCUUACCUGAAACGCAUGCUAAAACGAAAUUGAUUUACACUAUUUUUAUGGCAACCAAUGUAAGCCAUUUUCAGAUUCAUUUUUGACUUCCUCGAAUACCUGGCAUCCUCCGAAUUCUUCACGUUUGUGGUGUUUCCAGCUCCUCAUUUUACUUUACCCUAACUGGUUUGAGAGAAGCACACAUUAGCUGGACAAGAUGGACCUGUAUUUUUCCCUCAGAGCUGGGAAAGGGUUGGAACAGUCCAGUAGCAAACGCAAGAGGAGGAAAACAGAGAAGUCUUUUGUGUAUGGAAUCACUGCUGCCAUGAUGUUUAAAACAUCAAGGAGCCAGAGCCAGAGACACAGCACAUAUGUGCGCGCUGCUGGCAAUCUGCAUAGGAGGCUAGCUUUGAAGACCAGAAAACACAUCGGCGGACUGUACAACGUCAAAGGCAACUGGGCCAACACGUUAUGGCAUCCUUCCAUUUAUUAAUUAAUUUAGUCUGUUGCCCAACUACCCCAAACAAGCUGAUAUUCCUUCACUCCCACACUCCUCAACCCACCCAGCGAGCAAGGGCGGUUGAGAUCUAGUUGUAACCAAUCGUGAUCGUCACUGCGAUCAUGAUUGGCUACUCCGUAGUGAUUCAUAGAACGAUGGUUGAGAACUCUAUACUGUAGAUUUAUAUGGAAAAUAGUAUUGAGAAAACAGAAUCGUUUUUUUAUUCCAAAGUGUAUAAUUUACAGAAAAUGUUUUCUGUCCCCCAUGCCUCCUAGUUGCCCUUACUGUCAGCAGCAUAUACACUGUAGUACAAUGCUGAAACCAGGAUUUACUGUAUCUUGUGAUUUCUUAUGGUCUAAUAAGCCUGUGCUUUUUGAACAAAAAAUAAUGUAGUUAUGUAGAAGAUUAAAUUAUUUUUUUAACACUUUUUGAAUUAUUGGCUUACCAACUAUAUAUAUAUAUAUUACUGUAGAAUUUAUAUUGAUGUGUGUUGAGUUAGGAUGCCCGAUGACAAAGUACCUUUUCUAGAACAGUUGACCUUCUCAGGUGUGAUGACCUAGCUACACCUAACAUACUCCAGGUUGAAUGCAUGCUAGAGAUCUUCUAUGCUUCAUUUUGAAUGAUCUUUUAUUUUUCAUGCAUGCAGUGUUUUUCUUUCCACUAAUUCUAAAAACAAAAUAUAGCAUGAUGUUACAUAGCAAUAUUUUUUUCAAUCCACUUUUAAAACGUCUUCAUUUUAUGAAAUGUAACAUACCUAUUGUAUAUUGUGCACAACAUACAAUAGCAUAACAUGUGCAGUGAAUCUGGAGAGAAAUCAAAAGUAUAACCGAGUGCAAGCCUCGGCCCACACGCCAACCGUUUGGCUAAAGGGUUUCGGAUCCUUUGGUGACAGUUGUAUUACCUUGAAGUCUCUCAGGCGUGUGUACAACUGAACGACCACAACGCUUCCUGCUCAGUGUAAUAGCAUUAGGUCCUACAGUUUUCAAUAAUUGCUCUGUGUCUCGUGUACGAUACAUUUCAUUGUACCCCGCUGGUUUACUCUGGUUUGUUUCUAUAUAGCUGAUAUACAAGUUUGAAUAGAUCUAUUAAUAUUUUUGAUGCCUUAAAAAAAAUGAAAUACUUUACAGUGUACUAACAAUGCAUAAUAAAUACUCUCCCGAUGUACCUAAAACACUAGUCAAGCAUCAACACCUUUCAGACAUAUGAUAUGAAAGUUCUCUUUUAAAAUAAACUUGUAAUAUAUUCAAAGUGUCUCUUUAUAUUUGUUUUUGAAUAUAUAUUUUAUCAUCGCAUCGACUGCAUGUCUACCAAGGUGUAUGUAUUAUAUUGUUCAGUACUUUAUACUGCAGCUCUCCUUUCCUACUAAAUCACAACCACCUCAUUUAUUUAAAAAAAAUAAUAAUACAAAAAAACAGUACUCAAUUAAAAUUCUACAUGAAAUGCAUGCUAUUCUACUGUUUAUGAAGUAAAGAACUGGAGAAGCCAAGACAUUGGACCCCUUGAGGAAUUGUCAUGAUGAACCAUCAUUCUCUUGUCAUUCUCAAUGACAACACUGUGUCAAGUGUCCAAAAUGUCAAGAAAUGUGCAGUUUAUUUGACAGUACCAGCGGAUAUAUUGUUGUGAUAACCAUGUAUUCACAUAUUCCAUUACAAUACUGAUAUCCCAAACAAUAUUUAGAUAAAUACAUACAUUACAAAAGUCUACGUUAGAUAAUCCCUUCAGGGAAACUGUAUGUAAUGAAAACUACAGAAUUGGCAACAACAAAAAAAAGGAGUAAAAACAGGUGAAGUACCAUUGACUAUUUAGUUAAAUUACAUUAGAAAACACACAAGUACCAUUGUACAAUCCAAAUGACCAAAUGUCAACUUUUAGUGCACAUGCGGACAGUACAAAGGCGUUUUGUGACACAAAAGGUGAACCGUUAAGUUACCAUU